AUCUAGUCCUACUAUCUAAUCCUG
This 24-nucleotide non-coding RNA is filed under the name Arabidopsis thaliana (thale cress). The record is from RNAcentral. Lineage: Eukaryota; Viridiplantae; Streptophyta; Magnoliopsida; Brassicales; Brassicaceae.